GGAUAUUUAUCUUUGAUGGCCGUAUAGAACUUGAGGUAAUUUCCACGGUAUUGUGUUUUUCCACAAUCCUCAUUUCCGAUAGCCACAUAUCUCAAAUCAAAAGGCUCUGGAUGUCCCAUUUUGGCUCGAAUAGAACCCCAUGUUGAAGUAGGAUCACCUCUUGCAAACUCAAGACCAUCUAAUAUCUCUUGCACAAAAGGUAAAAUACUGGAAGUGUCAACUUGAUCAUGGUGACUGACUCCAUUGUUGAAAACCCACACGGGCAGUGAAUCUAAGUCUUCGGCAAGCUGCAGGAACUCAAAAUGUCCAAGUCCAUCAUCAGUCCAGUAAUUCCAAACAUCACCGAAAUGUCCGGGCCUCUCUUCCCAUUGUCCAAUAGUUUCUUUCCACCGAAAUGCAUUUCUUAACCAGUCACCUUCAACAAAACAUCCACCUGGAAAUCUAAUGAAUGCUGGCUUUAAAUCCUUAAGCAUUCCAAAGAGAUCUUUCCUGAAGCCAUGCCCCUUGUAUGUGUCAGUAGGCAUUAAUGAGACUUGAUCAAACCAAAUAACACCUUUCUUAGAUGAUCUCAAUUCCAGUCUUGAAUUGGGAUCUGUUCCUGUUGCUUCUAACAAAAUUUCCACCUUCGUCCAACUUGAAACAUCAGCAGCUACAAUGUUGGCAGCAGCCAGCUUUUGCAAUCCAUUUGAACCAGUUAAAGCGACAGAUACAUUGACUGAUUCUUCGGAACGAACAUAAAGCACUAGUUUGUAACUCUUUCCCUGCUCAAUAUUCAUGCCCCAGAAUCCCGGGUUGUAGAUGCCAACUCCUCCAUCUGGACAGAUAUUG
RNAcentral lists this unclassified non-coding RNA (828 nucleotides) under Hevea brasiliensis (rubber tree). The record is from RNAcentral. Lineage: Eukaryota; Viridiplantae; Streptophyta; Magnoliopsida; Malpighiales; Euphorbiaceae.